CUUUGAAGGACGUUUGAGUCGGAAAUCAAUCUCUUGCAUGUACUCCGAUUUCCUAGACUGUUCGGAAUUUCGGUUCAACAACAUGAAAUGGUUGGAAAUAUGGGGAGGUGGGAGAAUGGUUUGUGGUGCUGGGGGUUUCUUUGGAGGAUUCGAAAUGAGAAGAUUUUUAAUAAUGUGGCUGGGGUGGUGGAAGAUGCAGUGGAUAUGAUUCAAAGACUGUAAAAAUUAACAAUUUAGAGAUCGAUAUAUUAUAUGAAAUUAGAACACACUUACUUGAUAAUCAAACGAUUGUGUUUACCCUAGAGCCAAUAUCGGAACCNNNNNNNNNNNNNNNNNNNNNNNNNNNNNNNNNNNNNNNNUAUCACUUGCUCCGGUCUUUGAGGUCUUUGAUGGGUAAAACCACAAAUGAGCUUAUUGUGUUUGUGCGUGACGGCAAAGGGGACCUAGCCAAUCUUAUAUAAGAUCACAACUCUAGUAACACCCAUCAUGGACUCUAGAGUUGGGCCUACACUUUGUUUCUACACAAAUCAGAAUUAGUGUUCAAGCCCAUUAUUAUUUAUCACAAUUAUCGGGCUUAAGCAUCAUCAAAUGGAUCACAACAAUAUCAACCCAUUUUUAUUAAAAUCAAAAGCCACAAUUAAUUGUAGCCCACAAAAUAUUAGAAAAUACUCUAACAAAGACUUCAUGGCAAUGGUAUCUUAGCAAUACAACAAAAGGGCCGUGAUUACUGUAUGAAUGAUUUUGGAACCUAUGUGAGCGCAUACUUAUGUGAUAUUUUUUUGUUGUGCUGUUACUGCUGCUCGGGUGCUACUGCUUUUUCUACUUCUCCCUUGUUAGCAGUUGAUGUAUUAGUGAUAGUUGAGAAAAUAGUUGAUAGUGUAGAAUGCUUUUUUUUUGAAUAAGCUAAAUUAGCCCACCCAAAUUGGCAUCAGAGAGAAUCGAACCUCAGAUCUUAAGAGGAGCACACUCUCAGUUCCUAAGUCAAUACCAAUGCACCAACCCAAGUGAGUUUUUAGUGUAGAAUGCUUAGUUGAUAGUUGAAUAGUAGUAGCAAGUAGUGUGAGGAUCACUUAGAGCAAUAUAUUGUAUUGCUCUCCACUUGGAUACAAUUACAA
This 1115-nucleotide long non-coding RNA is filed under the name Trifolium pratense (red clover). Its description in RNAcentral is "long non-coding RNA (TPRA_LNC003525)". Lineage: Eukaryota; Viridiplantae; Streptophyta; Magnoliopsida; Fabales; Fabaceae. The record is from RNAcentral.